GGGUUGUGAGGUUAAGCGACUAAGCGUACACGGUGGAUGCCCUGGCAGUCAGAGGCGAUGAAGGACGUGCUAAUCUGCGAAAAGCGUCGGUAAGGUGAUAUGAACCGUUAUAACCGGCGAUGUCCGAAUGGGGAAACCCAGUGUGAUUCGUCACACUAUCGUUAACUGAAUACAUAGGUUAACGAGGCGAACCGGGGGAACUGAAACAUCUAAGUACCCCGAGGAAAAGAAAUCAACCGAGAUUCCCCCAGUAGCGGCGAGCGAACGGGGAGCAGCCCAGAGUCUGAAUCAGCUUGUGUGUUAGUGGAACGGUCUGGAAAGUCCGACGGUACAGGGUGAUAGUCCCGUACACCAAAAUGCACAGGCUGUGAACUCGAAGAGUAGGGCGGGACACGUGGUAUCCUGUCUGAAUAUGGGGGGACCAUCCUCCAAGGCUAAAUACUCCUGACUGACCGAUAGUGAACCAGUACCGUGAGGGAAAGGCGAAAAGAACCCCGGCGAGGGGAGUGAAAAAGAACCUGAAACCGUGUACGUACAAGCAGUGGGAGCACCUUCGGGUGUGACUGCGUACCUUUUGUAUAAUGGGUCAGCGACUUAUAUUCUGUAGCAAGGUUAACCGUAUAGGGGAGCCGCAGGGAAACCGAGUCUUAACUGGGCGUUAAGUUGCAGGGUAUAGACCCGAAACCCGGUGAUCUAGCCAUGGGCAGGUUGAAGGUUGGGUAACACUAACUGGAGGACCGAACCGACUAAUGUUGAAAAAUUAGCGGAUGACUUGUGGCUGGGGGUGAAAGGCCAAUCAAACCGGGAGAUAGCUGGUUCUCCCCGAAAGCUAUUUAGGUAGCGCCUCGUGAACUCAUCUUCGGGGGUAGAGCACUGUUUCGGCUAGGGGGUCAUCCCGACUUACCAACCCGAUGCAAACUACGAAUACCGAAGAAUGUUAUCACGGGAGACACACGGCGGGUGCUAACGUCCGUCGUGAAGAGGGAAACAACCCAGACCGCCAGCUAAGGUCCCAAAGUCAUGGUUAAGUGGGAAACGAUGUGGGAAGGCACAGACAGCCAGGAUGUUGGCUUAGAAGCAGCCAUCAUUUAAAGAAAGCGUAAUAGCUCACUGGUCGAGUCGGCCUGCGCGGAAGAUGUAACGGGGCUAAACCAUGCACCGAAGCUGCGGCAGCGACACUAUGUGUUGUUGGGUAGGGGAGCGUUCUGUAAGCCUGCGAAGGUGACCUGUGAGGGUUGCUGGAGGUAUCAGAAGUGCGAAUGCUGACAUAAGUAACGAUAAAGCGGGUGAAAAGCCCGCUCGCCGGAAGACCAAGGGUUCCUGUCCAACGUUAAUCGGGGCAGGGUGAGUCGACCCCUAAGGCGAGGCCGAAAGGCGUAGUCGAUGGGAAACAGGUUAAUAUUCCUGUACUUGGUGUUACUGCGAAGGGGGGACGGAGAAGGCUAUGUUAGCCGGGCGACGGUUGUCCCGGUUUAAGCAUGUAGGCUGGUUGUCCAGGCAAAUCCGGAUAAUCAAGGCUGAGGUGUGAUGACGAGGCACUACGGUGCUGAAGUAACAAAUGCCCUGCUUCCAGGAAAAGCCUCUAAGCAUCAGGUAACAUCAAAUCGUACCCCAAACCGACACAGGUGGUCAGGUAGAGAAUACCAAGGCGCUUGAGAGAACUCGGGUGAAGGAACUAGGCAAAAUGGUGCCGUAACUUCGGGAGAAGGCACGCUGGUGUGUAGGUGAAGUCCCUGCGGAUGGAGCUGAGACCAGUCGAAGAUACCAGCUGGCUGCAACUGUUUAUUAAAAACACAGCACUGUGCAAACACGAAAGUGGACGUAUACGGUGUGACGCCUGCCCGGUGCCGGAAGGUUAAUUGAUGGGGUUAUCCGUAAGGAGAAGCUCUUGAUCGAAGCCCCGGUAAACGGCGGCCGUAACUAUAACGGUCCUAAGGUAGCGAAAUUCCUUGUCGGGUAAGUUCCGACCUGCACGAAUGGCGUAAUGAUGGCCAGGCUGUCUCCACCCGAGACUCAGUGAAAUUGAACUCGCUGUGAAGAUGCAGUGUACCCGCGGCAAGACGGAAAGACCCCGUGAACCUUUACUAUAGCUUGACACUGAACAUUGAGCCUUGAUGUGUAGGAUAGGUGGGAGGCUUUGAAGCGUGGACGCCAGUCUGCGUGGAGCCAACCUUGAAAUACCACCCUUUAAUGUUUGAUGUUCUAACGUUGGCCCCUGACCGGGGUUGCGGACAGUGUCUGGUGGGUAGUUUGACUGGGGCGGUCUCCUCCCAAAGCGUAACGGAGGAGCACGAAGGUUAGCUAAUCCUGGUCGGACAUCAGGAGGUUAGUGCAAUGGCAUAAGCUAGCUUGACUGCGAGCGUGACGGCGCGAGCAGGUGCGAAAGCAGGUCAUAGUGAUCCGGUGGUUCUGAAUGGAAGGGCCAUCGCUCAACGGAUAAAAGGUACUCCGGGGAUAACAGGCUGAUACCGCCCAAGAGUUCAUAUCGACGGCGGUGUUUGGCACCUCGAUGUCGGCUCAUCACAUCCUGGGGCUGAAGUAGGUCCCAAGGGUAUGGCUGUUCGCCAUUUAAAGUGGUACGCGAGCUGGGUUUAGAACGUCGUGAGACAGUUCGGUCCCUAUCUGCCGUGGGCGCUGGAGAAUUGAGGGGGGCUGCUCCUAGUACGAGAGGACCGGAGUGGACGCAUCACUGGUGUUCGGGUUGUCAUGCCAAUGGCACUGCCCGGUAGCUAAAUGCGGAAGAGAUAAGUGCUGAAAGCAUCUAAGCACGAAACUUGCCCCGAGAUGAGUUCUCCCUGAGACUUUAAGUCUCCUGAAGGAACGUUGAAGACGACGACGUUGAUAGGCCGGGUGUGUAAGCGCAGCGAUGCGUUGAGCUAACCGGUACUAAUGAACCGUGAGGCUUAACCUUACAACGCCGAAG
This 2923-nucleotide ribosomal RNA is filed under the name Klebsiella pneumoniae. Its description in RNAcentral is "bacterial LSU rRNA". It matches the Rfam family "Bacterial large subunit ribosomal RNA". The record is from RNAcentral. Lineage: Bacteria; Pseudomonadati; Pseudomonadota; Gammaproteobacteria; Enterobacterales; Enterobacteriaceae.